UGGUGGAGUGAUUUGUCUGGUUAGUUCCGUUAACGAACGAGACCUUAACCUGCUAAAUAGCUACGCGUAGCUUCGGUUACGUGGGCAACUUCUUAGAGGGACGUUGCGUGUCUAACGCAAGGAAGUUUGAGGCAAUAACA
RNAcentral lists this ribosomal RNA (140 nucleotides) under uncultured eukaryote. RNAcentral describes it as "partial 18S ribosomal RNA". It matches the Rfam family "Eukaryotic small subunit ribosomal RNA", at positions 1299 to 1458 of the family's 1831-position model. The record is from RNAcentral.